CAAUAGCGUAUAUUAAAGUUGUUGCAGUUAAAAAGCUCGUAGUUGGAUUUCUGAUCGAGACAUCAGGUCGGGUCCGAGAGGAUCAUGUACUUUGAUUUUGUUUUGAUCAUCCUUGGGAGAGCAUUUCUGGCAUUCAGUUGUCGGGAUUGGGAUCCUCAUCGUUUACUGUGAAAAAAUUAGAGUGUUCAAAGCAGGCCUCGGCCUCUGAAUACAUUAGCAUGGAAUAAUAAGAUAGGACUUUGGUGGUCUAUUUUGUUGGUUUGCACGCCAAAGUAAUGAUUAAUAGGGAUAGUUGGGGGUAUUCGUAUUCAAUUGUCAGAGGUGAAAUUCUUGGAUUUAUGGAAGACGAACUACUGCGAAAGCAUUUACCAAGGAUGUUUUCAUUAA
Molecule: ribosomal RNA, 387 nt
Filed under: uncultured eukaryote
Lineage: Eukaryota
Description: partial 18S ribosomal RNA
Rfam family: Eukaryotic small subunit ribosomal RNA
Source: RNAcentral